AGUGUCGUGGCGCAGUGGAAGCGCACUAGGCUCAUAACCUAGGGGUCCCUUGAUCGAGACGAGGCGACGCUA
RNAcentral lists this transfer RNA (72 nucleotides) under Tilletia horrida. RNAcentral describes it as "tRNA-iMet". It matches the Rfam family "tRNA". From Rfam's summary of the family: Transfer RNA (tRNA) molecules are approximately 80 nucleotides in length. Their secondary structure includes four short double-helical elements and three loops (D, anti-codon, and T loops). Further hydrogen bonds mediate the characteristic L-shaped molecular structure. tRNAs have two regions of fundamental functional importance: the anti-codon, which is responsible for specific mRNA codon recognition, and the 3' end, to which the tRNAs corresponding amino acid is attached (by aminoacyl-tRNA synthetases). tRNAs cope with the degeneracy of the genetic code in two manners: having more than one tRNA (with a specific anti-codon) for a particular amino acid; and 'wobble' base-pairing, i.e. permitting non-standard base-pairing at the 3rd anti-codon position. Lineage: Eukaryota; Fungi; Basidiomycota; Exobasidiomycetes; Tilletiales; Tilletiaceae. The record is from RNAcentral.